This 533-nucleotide ribosomal RNA is filed under the name Alternaria alternata. RNAcentral's name for it is "eukaryotic LSU rRNA". The stretch from base 185 to 338 matches the Rfam family "5.8S ribosomal RNA". The record is from RNAcentral. Lineage: Eukaryota; Fungi; Ascomycota; Dothideomycetes; Pleosporales; Pleosporaceae.
ACCUGCGGAGGGAUCAUUACACAAAUAUGAAGGCGGGCUGGAAUCUCUCGGGGUUACAGCCUUGCUGAAUUAUUCACCCUUGUCUUUUGCGUACUUCUUGUUUCCUUGGUGGGUUCGCCCACCACUAGGACAAACAUAAACCUUUUGUAAUUGCAAUCAGCGUCAGUAACAAAUUAAUAAUUACAACUUUCAACAACGGAUCUCUUGGUUCUGGCAUCGAUGAAGAACGCAGCGAAAUGCGAUAAGUAGUGUGAAUUGCAGAAUUCAGUGAAUCAUCGAAUCUUUGAACGCACAUUGCGCCCUUUGGUAUUCCAAAGGGCAUGCCUGUUCGAGCGUCAUUUGUACCCUCAAGCUUUGCUUGGUGUUGGGCGUCUUGUCUCUAGCUUUGCUGGAGACUCGCCUUAAAGUAAUUGGCAGCCGGCCUACUGGUUUCGGAGCGCAGCACAAGUCGCACUACUACUAUCAGCAAAGGUCGAGCAUCCUUUAAGCCUUUUUUCAACUAUGACCUCGGAGCCAGUUGAAUUCUUAGCCAA